This 491-nucleotide ribosomal RNA is filed under the name uncultured bacterium. RNAcentral describes it as "partial 16S ribosomal RNA". It matches the Rfam family "Bacterial small subunit ribosomal RNA", at positions 29 to 507 of the family's 1533-position model. The record is from RNAcentral.
GUGAACGCUGGCGGUAGGCCUAACCCAUGCAAGUCGAACGGCAGCACAGUAAGAGCUUGCUCUUACGGGUGGCGAGUGGCGGAUGGGUGAGGAAUACAUCGGAAUCUACUUUUUCGUGGGGGAUAACGUAGGGAAACUUACGCUAAUACCGCAUACGACCUACGGGUGAAAGCAGGGGAUCUUCGGACCUUGCGCGAUUGAAUGAGCCGAUGUCGGAUUAGCUAGUUGGCGGGGUAAAGGCCCACCAAGGCGACGAUCCGUAGCUGGUCUGAGAGGAUGAUCAGCCACACUGGAACUGAGACACGGUCCAGACUCCUACGGGAGGCAGCAGUGGGGAAUAUUGGACAAUGGGCGCAAGCCUGAUCCAGCCAUACCGCGUGGGUGAAGAAGGCCUUCGGGUUGUAAAGCCCUUUUGUUGGGAAAGAAAAGCAGCAGGUUAAUACCCCGCUGUUCUGACGGUACCCAAAGAAUAAGCACCGGCUAACUUCGUG